Molecule: long non-coding RNA, 1431 nt
Filed under: Taeniopygia guttata (zebra finch)
Lineage: Eukaryota; Metazoa; Chordata; Aves; Passeriformes; Estrildidae
Description: lncRNA (ENSTGUG00000026433.1)
Source: RNAcentral
AUGGCCCCAAAUUCACCCAAAAAUCCCCCAAAAAUGCCCCAAAAAGCCCCAAAAUUCCCAGGAAAUCCCCAGAAUGGAAAGAAAAUCCCGAAUUUUGGGGGAAUUCCCGAAAUUCCCAGAAAAAUCCCGGUUUUUUUCCCGUUUUAUUCAGAAUUUCACCCAAAAAAUCAAAGUGGGGGCGGAGGGAAAACCCGGAGUGGAUCCGGAGGGAGGCGGGGAAUGGGAUCGGGAAUGGGGAAAACCCGGAGUGGAUUUACGGGGGAGAUUUUGGGGGAGAAUCCCGGAAUUUCUUUGGGAUUGGGGAAAAACCUGGCCUGGAGUGGGAUCAGGAGCAAAUCCCGGCCUGGAUCAGACCCAAAUCUCGGACUGGAUUCUGGUCUGGAGUGGGAUCAAAACCAAAUCCCGGCCUGGAUUUCCCUCGGGAUCAGGAUCAGGCCCAAAUCCCGGCCUGGAGUCUGGCCUGGAGUGGGAUCAGACCCAAAUCCCGGCCUGGAUUUCCCUCAGGAUCAGGAUCAGGCCCAAAUCCCGGCCUGGAGUCUGGCCUGGAGUGAUAUCAGACCCAAAUCCUGGCCUGGAUUUCCCUCAGGAUCGGGAUCAGGAGAAAAUCCCAGCCUGGAUCAGGAGCAAAUCCUGGCCUGGAUUUCUCUCAGGAUCAGACCCAAAUCCCGGCCUGGAUUUCCCUUGGGAUCGGGAUCAGACCCAAAUCCUGGCCUGGAUUGGGAUCAGGAGAAAGUCCCGGCCUGGAUUUUUCUUGGGAUCGGGAUCAGACCCGAAUCCCGGCCUGGAUUUCCCUCAGGAUCGGGAUCAGGAGCAAAUCCCGGCCUGGAUUUCAUUUGGGAUCAGGAUCGGGAGCAAAUCCCGGCCUGGAUUCUGGCCUGGAGUGGGAUCAGACCCAAAUCCUGGCCUGGAUUGGGAUCAGGAGCAAAUCCCAGCCUGGAUUUCCCUCAGGAUCCGGAUAAGGACCAAAUCCCGGCCUGGAUUUCAUUUGGGAUCAGGAUCAGACCCAAAUCCCGGCCUGGAUUUCCCUUGGGAUCGGGAUCAGACCCAAAUCCCGGCCUGGAUUUCCCUCGGGAUCGGGAUCAGAAGCAAAUCCUGGCCUGGAUCGGGAUCAGGAGCAAAUCCCGGCCUGGAUUUUUCUCAGGAUCGGGAUCAGACCCAAAUCCCGGCCUGGAUUUCCCUCAGGAUCGGGAGCAGGAGCAAAUCCUGUCCCGGAUUCUGGCCUGGAGUGGGAUCAGACCCAAAUCCUGGCCUGGAUUGGGAUCAGGAGCAAAUCCCGGCCUGAAUUUCCCUCAGGAUCAGGAUCAGACCCAAAUCCCGGCCGCAUUUUCCUGUUUUUCUCAUUUUUUAAUGCAUUUUUCCCAUUUUUUCACCGUUUUCCCUUUUUUUCCCACCAUUUUUUCACAUUUUCCCACCAUUUCCUCCCGUUUUUAA